GUGACUGUGGCUCAGUUGGUAGAGCGGGUUGUCCACCAAUCAUAGGGUUGGCGGUUCGAUUCCCAGCCCACGUGACU
Molecule: non-coding RNA, 77 nt
Organism: Ameiurus melas (black bullhead)
Lineage: Eukaryota; Metazoa; Chordata; Actinopteri; Siluriformes; Ictaluridae
Source: the annotation of a GenBank genome assembly